UACGAAGGGGGCUAGCGUUGUUCGGAUUUACUGGGCGUAAAGCGCACGUAGGCGGUUUGUUAAGUGAGAGGUGAAAUCCCAGAGCUCAACUCUGGAACUGCCUUUCAUACUGGCAAGCUAGAGUCCGGAAGAGGUAAGUGGAACUCCUAGUGUAGAGGUGGAAUUCGUAGAUAUUAGGAAGAACACCAGUGGCGAAGGCGGCUUACUGGUCCGGACUGACGCUGAGGUGCGAAAGCGUGGGGAGCAAACAGG
This 252-nucleotide ribosomal RNA is filed under the name uncultured bacterium. RNAcentral's name for it is "partial 16S ribosomal RNA". It matches the Rfam family "Bacterial small subunit ribosomal RNA", at positions 524 to 776 of the family's 1533-position model. The record is from RNAcentral.